Molecule: long non-coding RNA, 211 nt
Filed under: Panax ginseng (ginseng)
Lineage: Eukaryota; Viridiplantae; Streptophyta; Magnoliopsida; Apiales; Araliaceae
Description: long non-coding RNA (PGIN_LNC016684)
Source: RNAcentral
CCAUGUUGGGUCACUGAAGAUGUAGUUUCUGCUGACUUCGGUGACAUUUUAGAAGAGCGUGUAAGUGAAAUGAUAGAGUUAUUUGAAAACUUCCCACAGAAAGAAUGGAGUUACUUUCUCCUUACCAAGCAAGCCUGGUUAUAUGAACACAAACGUAAGUUUUUAAUUUAUUUGUUUGCAAAAUUAUUUGAAAUUGCUAUUGAUAUUAACU